Molecule: ribosomal RNA, 460 nt
Filed under: uncultured bacterium
Lineage: Bacteria
Description: partial 16S ribosomal RNA
Rfam family: Bacterial small subunit ribosomal RNA
Source: RNAcentral
CCUACGGGUGGCAGCAGUGAGGAAUAUUGGUCAAUGGACGAGAGUCUGAACCAGCCAAGUAGCGUGAAGGAUGACUGCCCUAUGGGUUGUAAACUUCUUUUAUAUGGGAAUAAAAUGUUCCACGUGUGGGAUUUUGUAUGUACCAUAUGAAUAAGGAUCGGCUAACUCCGUGCCAGCAGCCGCGGUAAUACGGAGGAUCCGAGCGUUAUCCGGAUUUAUUGGGUUUAAAGGGAGCGUAGGUGGAUUGUUAAGUCAGUUGUGAAAGUUUGCGGCUCAACCGUAAAAUUGCAGUUGAUACUGGCAGUCUUGAGUACAGUAGAGGUGGGCGGAAUUCGUGGUGUAGCGGUGAAAUGCUUAGAUAUCACGAAGAACUCCGAUUGCGAAGGCAGUUCACUGAACUGCAACUGACACUGAGGCUCGAAAGUGUGGGUAUCAAACAGGAUUAGAUACCCUGGUAGUC